AAAAAGGACUCUCGGCAACGGAUAUCUCGGUUCUUGCAUCGAUGAAGAACGUAGCGAAAUGCGAUACUUGGUGUGAAUUGCAGAAUCCCGUGAACCAUCGAGUCUUUGAACGCAAGUUGCGCCCAAAGCCAUUCGGUCGAGGGCACGCCUGCCUGGGUGUCGUG
Molecule: ribosomal RNA, 164 nt
Filed under: Memecylon sp. 10 RDS-2013
Lineage: Eukaryota; Viridiplantae; Streptophyta; Magnoliopsida; Myrtales; Melastomataceae
Description: 5.8S ribosomal RNA
Rfam family: 5.8S ribosomal RNA
About the family: 5.8S ribosomal RNA (5.8S rRNA) is a component of the large subunit of the eukaryotic ribosome. It is transcribed by RNA polymerase I as part of the 45S precursor that also contains 18S and 28S rRNA.
Source: RNAcentral